CACGUAGGGGGCAAGCGUUGUCCGGAUUUAUUGGGCGUAAAGAGCUCGUAGGCGGCUUAGUAAGUCGGGUGUGAAACCUCCAGGCUCAACCUGGAGACGCCACCCGAUACUGCUGUGGCUAGAGUCCGGUAGGGGAGCGUGGAAUUCCUGGUGUAGCGGUGAAAUGCGCAGAUAUCAGGAGGAACACCGAUGGCGAAGGCAGGUCUCUGGGCAUUAACUGACGCUGAGGAGCGAAAGCAUGGGGAGCGAACAGG
This 254-nucleotide ribosomal RNA is filed under the name uncultured bacterium. Its description in RNAcentral is "partial 16S ribosomal RNA". It matches the Rfam family "Bacterial small subunit ribosomal RNA", at positions 524 to 776 of the family's 1533-position model. The record is from RNAcentral.